RNAcentral lists this ribosomal RNA (42 nucleotides) under Begonia formosana. Its description in RNAcentral is "partial 28S ribosomal RNA". The record is from RNAcentral. Lineage: Eukaryota; Viridiplantae; Streptophyta; Magnoliopsida; Cucurbitales; Begoniaceae.
GCGACCCCAGGUGAGGCUAGAUACCCGCUGAAUUUAAGCAUA